GAGGGCUUUAUUUAUAGCCUCCUUUUUUUCUGUCACUAUUAGAUAAAUUCUAUGCAAGAAUGUUCUCCAAGGUUUCUCUCUGUUCUUACCCUUCGGCUUCCAGGGCCAGAGGUCUUGCAUUGGCUCUGCUUUGCUCUCUGUUCUCCUGGCCAUCCUCAGACCCAGAGCCACAGGUAAGGUAGGCUGCUUCUUAGCCUUUCUCUUUUCUCCAGCAGACUCGGGGCCCAAAUUGGGACCUUUGUGAGAGAAAAUAAAAACCACCUUCAGAAAGGUGGGGAAUCAGCAGGAUUGGGAAAUGGAAUAAAAGAAGAAGAGUCACAUGACCAUUGCAGUCUACGCAUUGAGGUAAAGAAAGCAGGAAACUGUGACUAAAUGAAGAUCACAGAGCCAGUUGAUCAGUGGGGAAGCUGCAUCUGAAAUCCAGGACUUCUAGAUCCUGGGUCAACUGGUAAUCACAAGCGUACAGAUAACAGGCAGGCAGGAAUGUGAAAAUCAGAGAGAAGAGAGAUGUGCACCAGAAGCUGGAGUAAUGUGCUUUGAAGAUGGAGGAAGGGACCAUAAAUCAAGGAAUGCAGACAGCCUGUAGAAGCUGGGAAAGGCAAGGAUGUGGAUUCACUCGAGUCUCUAGAAGAAACGCAACCCCGCCAACACCUUGAUUUGAGGACGUCUGACCUUCAGAAUGAGAAAAUGAUACAUUUGUGUUGUAAGCCACCCAGUUUGUGAAAUAUGUAUCAACAAUUGAAAACUAGUACAUAGUCAAAUACUCAAUCUCUGUUUUUUUUAGCUUAUCAUUUUCAAUCUCUGUCUCCAACCCACAAACCACAUGCAUCAUAAAUAAAUUAAAAUACCAAAA
Molecule: long non-coding RNA, 853 nt
Filed under: Homo sapiens (human)
Lineage: Eukaryota; Metazoa; Chordata; Mammalia; Primates; Hominidae
Description: HSALNT0146803
Source: RNAcentral